UUUGCAUUGGAGGUGUCGUGCUAAUUUAGUGUCAGAAUAUACAGAUGAUUUGUCCCAUAUGAAGUAACAACAAAAGCAGACUGUUCACUGUCAGAACUAACUACAAACUUCAGUAAUCAGCAGUGCAAGCCAAUGGUCAUGAUGUUUGAGGAAAACAUAGCGGAUGUCUGGAUUUCACAGCAGUCAUGGAACAUUUUUAAUAAAUCAUGCUGCAGUGACAAACUAAAAAGUUGAGAUUGUUGUUUGCAUAUUUAUGUGGCAUGACCAUGGCUUCAAAGGGAGUGUUAUGGAGAAAGGAUACGUAUGGAAAAUACAGAGAUGAGGAUGUGGUAUUUACUUGUUGAUAAAAUUGCUGAAAUUUGAGAUAAGGAAUCAACAUCAUUUAGUUGUUUUACUUUGUACACUGUCACCAUCACGAUUUAUCUAAAUACAAGAUGAGCCAUGCUAUGAGAAAACCAACAUAGUGCA
This is a long non-coding RNA of Mercenaria mercenaria, 468 nucleotides long. RefSeq lists it as uncharacterized. The transcript is spliced from 3 exons. The record is from RefSeq and is a predicted model, not a curated record. NCBI's taxonomy places the organism in Eukaryota, Metazoa, Mollusca, Bivalvia, Venerida, Veneridae.